UCUUCACAAAUAAAAAUAAAUGGUCUGAGGGAGACUGGAGAGGCUGCAAUUGUGCUAAGCAUCUCACCAUGAUAGCUCAGCUAUUCAUACCUUAUGAAAUCGUGUUCCAACUGAAUAUAAUUUUGUUUAACUUAAGGGAAGAGCUUUUGAUAAUUAAUGUUCACGUAUUUUUCCAACUGAGGUCAUACAGCAUCUGCCAUGCGAUUGGCCAAGUCUUGGUUAAUGGGUAGACAUAGCGAAGGAUUUGAUUUUAUCACUGCCCUCUUCAAGACUGAGAUUUGUCUUUUCUAUCUUUUCCACUUCUGAAGCUUCCCAAAGGCGAGUCUUACACUUUGUAUUUCUAGAGGAUCCUUUCUAACAUUCUCCAUGGCUUAGGAGUUUUUCUAGCUCCCGUGAUAUGGGUUUAAAAACCUGUUUCUUUACGGCUGUCCAAUGUUCUUCCUAAGUGUAGGCAAUUGAGAGCUAGCCAUGUGGGAUGUGGGAGGUGACGGUGCAUGCUGAGAGUUCAGGAGAAAGGGCCAAGCUGAUAUUCUAGAGAGAACACUUGAAAGUUGGUAAGCACUGUGACCCUUCAGUCUUAGAAGUGCCAUCCCUAUUAGCCAUCAGAGAUGCCAUUCUACAUACUGGUCUGUCUCACUCUGUCUUCUUUCAGCCCCUCCAUGUUCCUUGUCCAUCCUGUCUGUAUCACUUACCAUACUGGACUACCAUGUGGGAUCUCAUCCAUGCUACCUUCUCAUGUACUGUGCCCUAAUGUCAUUCAGUUUGGUCACAGUCUGUGGCCCGACAAGUGGCUAGUUUAGUCACCUGUCCCUAGUAAACCAAUUAAAAGAGCCAAAUUAAUAAUGGAAAGGAGAAAAGGAGAUUUAUUUCUUAUGGCUAAACUGGAAAGAGGGACAAAGAGAUCUAGGGAACCCCUCCCACAAGUCUGUCUUCAAUCUCUGAAAUAAGAUUAAAGUUUAAUCGGAGGACCAAGGAUAUGCCAUCUAAGCCAUGCAGUCAAGGAAGGGUGGUCCACCAACCAUUGACACAUACUCUAUCCUGUUUUGUAAAAAUCCUAUGUAUUUUAAUUGAGAAGCAUCUGGACUUUUAGAUUAGUUGUCCCCUCCAUGUUCCAGGUGUCCCCUAGGGAGAUGGGGGUCUUUUUCUGAGUGUUUACUAGGUUAUCCCUUAGGUACUUAGAGACAGAUGGUCUGCAAGUAUUGGCUCCUUUUCCAAGCAUUAGUAGAGAAAACACACACACACACACACACACACACACACACACACACACACACUAUAUUGUGCACAGGCUGUAGAUGGGUACAGUCUCCCUGCCCCUUCCUGCAAACGUAAGCAUGAGGGACAGGAAGUAGCUGUUUCUAAACGUGACCCGUAAAUAUUAAAUUUUCUGCCAUUUGUCUUUCCACAAUAACCUAAGGCAGUUUCUGUCUGGAUCAGCCUCAAAAGGUCAAGAUAUUUGUUUUUGCUUUCUGAGUAGAAAUGUUUUUUAGGCUUCUAAAGAACACUGCUUGGCAGGUGCUUCCUGUCACCCCAGCUUUCACAUGGACAGUCAAACAUGUCACCAGCAAGAAGUGACUUCACUCCUGCCCCCCUCAUACAGGUGCCCAGGUUCUGAGCUAUUCAGAAUGAAUGAUACUGAUUAAGAUGUCUAGGGUUAAUGGCCAGUCAUAGGAGACUUAUUUGGAGAGAAAGAUAGACUGAAUUAGGGUGCACCAAAAUGGGGCUACAUGUUACCUAAAUGUUUAAAACAACAUGAUAAAUAAAGAGCAAGAAUAGAGUUAUUUUAUACUGUCCUAAGAAUGGAACUGUUGAGUUGCAAGAGGUAGAUGUUGGUGCACAGUGAAACAUCGUUUUCCUGGAAGAGUUGCCUACAAGCCAAUGGGCUUCCUGAAAUAGCCAGCUCCGAUCCACAGCUGUGCUUAAGCACACACAGGACCAACACCUGAAGCUACCCUUCCUCUGCCAGAGAAAGCAGUUAGCAGGAUGUGUUAAACCAGCAGUUUACAACUGGGAGUCAAGGAAGCAGGGCAAUGGAGAGAUGCUGCUAUAAUGUCCUGGCUGCUCUAUUUUGAAAAUAUCUUCUUCUAUGCCUGGAGCCGUUUCCAGCACAGUGUGACUCGGUGAACACUGGAGUACCUCUGACUUGAUGGUACCUGAGAUGCAGUGGGUGUCAUGGCUGGAGAGGAGGAAUCAGAAGACAGUGCAGGAGUCAGUCCUUUCCUCCACUGUCGUCGCUGCCUGUCAUGCUGGUCUCUCCUCUGCUCCUGAAGAUCCACUGAGGACUUCCUGAGGCUGUGAGCAAUGGCUCUCAUACGUCUGUUGUCCCAGACCCUCUCGCUUCCCAAAUAGCACUAAUCCCUCUACCAUGGACUCUGAAAUUUCUCUAUUUUGUUUUGCAAAAACCCUAUUUCACUCUGUUAAAAUUUUGUUAGUCAUGUAUCUGGUUGAUUGAGCUGUUUUUUAUUCCUUCCUUGUACAGACCAACUGUUGGUUGGCUGACUCUAUGGGACGUGAGGGUUCUUUCAUGGAUUGGUUUUGCUCACUCCGGUUCAGACUGGACGCUGACUCUGUACUGUGCUUUUGGGGUUGAGCCUGUCUUUCCUCUUCCUCCGAGUGCUGUAUUGCUUCUGAAGCGCUGUGUGCCUUGAAUGGCCCCAUUUCUUCACAGCACAGCUUGGCUGGAAGCAGCAAGCUUGGUUGGCCUUUGACCUUCAGCAUUUGAAGUUUAUCAGUUUUCACUCUCCUUGCUUCUCUGACUAUUGAUGAGAGACCUAAUGUUCUUCUGACACCCCUGCCCUGUGAGUUAGCACUUUCGGUUAUUGCUCUUAUUUAUCUGUUUAUCUUUGAGUUGAAGUUUGUUUAAAUUACUUUUAAACAUAUGAAAAAAAUAUUCAUCCUCAUUCCAAACAAGAGAUAGAUACCAUACUUACAGUGGAAUAUCGCUUCUUAUCUGUCAGAGGCAAGAUGGCACCGUGGUUGGUGAGAGAAGACUCUGUGACACGAGGAUUGUGACAAUGCAAAAUAGCCGCAUGGGGUGGACUUAUCAAUUGCUGGCAAUAUUACGCACACAAAUACCCAUUGCCUCAGCAAGUGUGCCUCUCAGAAACCGUUUCCAAGGAUGGACUGGCAAACUGACUCUGAAUUGUGUUUUGCCUUAGUACAGGUACUUUCAGCAGGCUACCAAUGAGCUACAUUCAAUAUUUUGAUUGUAGUUACAUAAUAGUGUAAGAGAAGAGGCACAAAUAUCUGUCAGCUUGGUUGAAUAAACUGUGGUACA
Molecule: long non-coding RNA, 3277 nt
Organism: Mus musculus (house mouse)
Lineage: Eukaryota; Metazoa; Chordata; Mammalia; Rodentia; Muridae
Product: predicted gene, 32652
Exons: 5
Source: RefSeq, a predicted model, not a curated record